Molecule: ribosomal RNA, 1014 nt
Filed under: uncultured bacterium
Lineage: Bacteria
Description: bacterial SSU rRNA
Rfam family: Bacterial small subunit ribosomal RNA
Source: RNAcentral
AGGGAGUAUUCGGCAAUGGAGGGAACUCUGACCGAGCAACGCCGCGUGAAUGACGAAGGUCUUCGGAUUGUAAAAUUCUGUUAUAUGGGAAGAAAGAUAUGAUAAGGAAAUGGAUUAUAUUUGACCGUACCAUAUGAGAAAGCCACGGCUAACUACGUGCCAGCAGCCGCGGUAAUACGUAGGCGGCAAGCGUUAUCCGGAAUUAUUGGGCGUAAAGAGAGAGCAGGCGGUUAUUCAAGUCUGAAGUGAAAAGCAGUGGCUUAACCAUUGUAGGCUUUGGAAACUAGAUAGCUAGAGUGCAAGAGAGGUUAGCGGAACUCCAUGUGUAGCGGUGAAAUGCGUAGAUAUAUGGAAGAACACCAGUGGCGAAGGCGGCUAACUAGCUUGAAACUGACGCUCAGUCUCGAAAGCGUGGGUAGCAAAUAGGAUUAGAUACCCUAGUAGUCCACGCUGUAAACGAUGAGUACUAGGUGUUGGGGAAACUCAGCGCCGAAGUUAACACAAUAAGUACUCCGCCUGGGUAGUACGUUCGCAAGAAUGAAACUUAAAGGAAUUGACGGGGGCCCGCACAAGCAGUGGAGCAUGUGGUUUAAUUCGACGCUACGCGAAGAACCUUACCAGGACUUGACAUCUGAUUAAAGGCUCUAGAGAUAGAGAGAUAGUUAUAGUCAAGACAGGUGGUGCAUGGUUGUCGUCAGCUCGUGUCGUGAGAUGUUGGGUUAAGUCCCGCAACGAGCGCAACCCUCGUCCUUAGUUGCCAGCAGUAAGAUGGGAACUCUAAGGAGACCGCCGGUAUAAGCCGGAGGAAGAUGGGGAUGACGUCAAAUCAUCAUGCCCUUUAUGUCCUGGGCGACACACGUGCUACAAUGGCCGGUACAAAGAGAAGCAAGACCGCGAGGUGGAGCGAAUCUCAUAAAGCCGGUCUCAGUUCGGAUUGGAGUCUGCAACUCGACUCCAUGAAGUUGGAAUUGCUAGUAAUCGCGAAUCAGCCAUGUCGCGGUGAAUACGUUCCCG